RNAcentral lists this long non-coding RNA (939 nucleotides) under Actinidia chinensis (golden kiwifruit). RNAcentral describes it as "long non-coding RNA (ACHI_LNC000386)". Lineage: Eukaryota; Viridiplantae; Streptophyta; Magnoliopsida; Ericales; Actinidiaceae. The record is from RNAcentral.
UUGGUAAUUCAAAUUGUGCAUCAUGUAAAAUUCAUGGGACGAUCAUCCAUACACGGGGGCGGAAGGAGUAAGGGGCAAGUGAGGUCAAUUGAUCUCACUGAAAAAAAAUUACAUUAUUAUCUUAUAAUUAUAUAUAAUUUUAUGAUUUUAACCCUAUUGAGCUAAUAUCCUAAUUCCGCCCCGUCCAUACAUGAUACAAAGUAUCAAUUCAUUGGUUUUCAAUUGCGGUACAAGAAUUAUUAGGGGGAUUUAGUUGUUAGGAAUUACCCAUAUCCAAACAGGGCACAAUAAUUUAGUAGGGGGAUUUUAUGGUAUUCCUUGGAUUGAGAGGUGCAGGUAGGGAUGGCAACGGGGCGGAUUGGGGACGGGUUGGGCCUCCCCAUCCCCGCCCCGUUUAAUAAUUUUUUAAUUAUAUAUAUUUUUUAUAUCAUUAUUGGUAUAUAUAUAUUAUAAUCUAAAUUAAUACAAUAUAAUCUAUAUAUAUAUCUCUCUUCCUGACCUCUUUGGUCUCUUUUUUUCCCCCCCAGGGUCUCCUUUCUUUUUUCUCUCUCCUCGGGUCAUCGGAGCGGGUUCUGGGUUGAAAAAAAAGGAUGUUAAACCCGCCCACCGCCCCGAGUUAUUAACUCGUAUUUUAAUUUUUUCCUCCAACCCACUUAAAUAGGACCGGGACCAGGCAAAAAAUAAGAUUUUUUUGGGUCAAAUUGUCAUCUCUAGGUGCAGGGAGGUGAGGACUCCACUUGUAGGUUGCUCCUGUUUGGGUAUACAAAUCUUUGAUCCUCUCUGCCAAACAAAGAAUUGAUCGGGAUUUGCUUAUGUACGAAACAAAAACACAUUACGAGGAGAGAGAGAGAGAGAGAGAGAGAAGAGAGGCAUGCAGUUAACAGGUUCAAUCUUUUUUAUCUUAGACUUCCCGAGCUCCUAUGUACGGUACAACCCGUG